RNAcentral lists this ribosomal RNA (488 nucleotides) under Malassezia globosa. Its description in RNAcentral is "partial large subunit ribosomal RNA". It matches the Rfam family "Eukaryotic large subunit ribosomal RNA", at positions 117 to 609 of the family's 3401-position model. Lineage: Eukaryota; Fungi; Basidiomycota; Malasseziomycetes; Malasseziales; Malasseziaceae. The record is from RNAcentral.
UGAAGCUGGCACCUUCGGUGUCCGCGUUGUAAUCUCGAGACGUGUUUUCCGUGCGGCUCUAUGGACAAGUCCCUUGGAAUAGGGCAUCGUAGAGGGUGAGAAUCCCGUACUUGCCAUGGAAGAACCGUGCUUUGCGAUACACGCUCUAAGAGUCGAGUUGUUUGGGAUUGCAGCUCAAAAUGGGUGGUAGACUCCAUCUAAAGCUAAAUAUCGGGGAGAGACCGAUAGCGAACAAGUACCGUGAGGGAAAGAUGAAAAGCACUUUGGAAAGAGAGUUAAAAGUACGUGAAAUUGUCGAAAGGGAAGCACUUGAAGUCAGCCAUGCUGCUUGAGACUCAGCCUGGCCUUUGGGCUUGGUGUAUUUCUCGGUGGCAAGCCAGCAUUGGUUUGGGUCGUCGGAGAAGCGCAUAGGGAAUGUGGCGUCUCCGGACGUGUUAUAGCCUUAUGCAGGAUACGACGACCUGGAUCAAGGAACGCAGUGUGCCCUC